RNAcentral lists this ribosomal RNA (253 nucleotides) under uncultured bacterium. Its description in RNAcentral is "partial 16S ribosomal RNA". It matches the Rfam family "Bacterial small subunit ribosomal RNA", at positions 524 to 776 of the family's 1533-position model. The record is from RNAcentral.
GACAGAGGGUGCAAACGUUGUUCGGAAUUACUGGGCGUAAAGCGUGUGUAGGCGGCCAUGUAAGUCGGAUGUGAAAGCCCCGGGCUCAACCCGGGAAGUGCACUCGAUACUGCGUGGCUUGAGUACUGGAGAGGUUGGUGGAAUUCUCGGUGUAGAGGUGAAAUUCGUAGAUAUCGAGAGGAACACCGGUGGCGAAGGCGGCCAACUGGACAGAUACUGACGCUGAGACACGAAAGCGUGGGGAGCAAACAGG